AAGAACAGCAGCAAGGGCAGUCAGUGGACGUGUUUCUGGCUGCCCAGCAUGGGCAUUUCUUCCUGUGUUUGGGGGUCCCCUGCCUGGAAUGGGGGUGCAGUUGGUUGCUCGAGCUGAUCUAGCGCACUGCCGAGGGCUCCACUUUGGGAGGCACUGACUUGAGCAGGAGCGGGAGGAACCUGUCCUCGGGGUGGCGGUCACCCCGGAGGCCCCAGCGUCCUGGGUCUCUGGCCGCUUGGUGGUGGCUUUGCAAGCGAGAUGCUGAGUCCCGUGGGCGCUGCCUGGGCUGCGAGCCCUGAGCCUGGUGUGCUCUGCAGGUGGUUGCGAGUCUGAGAGACCCCACCUGCUGCGCGUGCCUGGGAGACCGGGUUGGGCAGGAGUGAGGGGCUCGUGGGGGACAGGCUGUCAGGGUGCUGCUGCCCACUGGACGGGCCCGAGGUGUCGUCUGCUGAGGAGCCCCAUUCCAGGAGAUGGGGCUCCCCUCCCAGGGCCUUCCUGGGGUCAGGUGCCACCCCUGGGCGCUGGCCUCUGCACGCCCCCUUUCUCUGUCCUGUGCCAUGCCCAGGGCGACGCGGUUCCCACGGCCUCUGGCUCCCGGCUGGACUUGGCCCAUGGGAGGCCCUGGCAGGACAAGGGGACGAGAGGUUGGGGUGUUUCUCGCUGGCCUGUCCUGCCCAGGCCUGCGGUUGUGGUAAUGGCUGUGCCCCCUCCUCACCCCCGGUGACAGCUCCUGCCGUAACCCCCCUCCCCAAUCACCUGUCCCCUGUCCCUUCCCUGCAGCCUCGGUGGCCCCAGGAGUGCUUUCCUUAAGGCCCACACCCAGGUGACGGGGCCGUCACGAAAUGCCUUUAAAAACAGAACAGCUGAGGCUGCCUUUGUUUCCUGCCAGGACCCUGCUUGACCCACAGCCUUCCUUGGGUUUUGCCUAAAAGCCCAGCAGCCUUGGACUGACUCGAGCACAGCUACGGACAGGGCCCCGCGGUCUCCCGCAGAGACUGGGUCUUCUCGUGGGACUUGCCACCUUCGGCCCAAGGAGGCGAGAGGGGGGAAGGGGAGGGGGAGGCAAGGGGGUGCGGGGGAGCCGGGCUGCCUUUUUGGGAAGUGGGGAGUCUGGCUGAGCCGCUGAAACCAGGCCCCUCCUCUGGGGCUGCUGCUGCCGCCGGAGGGGGGGCAGGAGGGCAGUGGGGGGGAUGGCAGCGGGCAGAGGCCAGGGCCCUGGUGGUCCUUGCAGGACAAGGAUGUGGUGUCCCUCGGGGUCCCGGAGGUGGCGUCAGCCCCCCACCCUGGAACCCCUCUAACUUACCUCCCUCAAGGCGCUGACUCCAGAUGGUCACAUUCAGAGGUCCUGGGGUCAGGGCUUGGGCGUGACUUUCAGGGCGCACGAGCCAGCCCAUAAGCCCUGCGUGGGCAGCAGUGGACGGACACACAGCCCCAGCCUUCUGGAGCCAGAGAAGGUGACAGGGGUGGGGACAGCGGGGUGAACGUGGGCGGGAGGGGCAGCCACCUGGGGGAGGUGACAAGGGCCUCCGGCGUGGGGUCCCGUCCCUCAGUCCCGUGUUUGUCUUCCUGGAAGGGAGGAAGUUGGGAGGGAUUUGGGGGCCCCCUUUCUGGGUUUGGGGCUAGUUCAGUGGCUGGAGCUCCGAGUGUGGCCAAGAGAACCUGCGUCGUGUGUGGGGCCGUCGAUGCGGGGCUCAGACCAGGGAAGCUGCGCCGAGUCCUCUGGGGUUGGAGGGUCGGGGCUUCGCGCCACUGGCGUUCAUAGUUUUAUUUCUGCAUUUGAACUGCGCGGACGCACGGAACAGGGGAGAAAACUCAAAUGGAAGUUUGGGGGUUUGUUCUAAAUCGAAUCACCGCGGCACAUCUUGGGGCAAAGGAUGCUUGAGGGCCCUUGCGCCGCGGGCAGUGCCCGCCCUGGUGUCCGAGUCCUCGCAUUUCGUCGUGUGGCCACUUGGUGGCCCUUCCAUGUGGGAGCCUGCGUCUUCCUCCGGAGAACGUUCUUAGCUGUUUCCUUCCGUCUGGCUUCUCUCUUUUCUUCCUGGUGUUUGUUUGUUUGUUUGUUUUUUUUAAUUUUACGACCACACCUGCAGCAUAUGGAAGGUCUCAGGCCAGGGACUGAAUCCGAGCCGCAGCUGCAGCAACAUCGGAUCCUCAACCCGCUGCACCGGAGUUCCCAUCGUGGCUCAGCACUUAACGAAUCUGACUAGCAUCCAUGAGGAUGUGGGUUCGAUCCCUGGCCUCACUAGGGGGUUAAUGAUCCGGCAUUGCCAUGAGCUAUGUUGUGGGUCGAAGACCCGGCUGAGAUCUGGUGUUGCUGUGGCUGUGGUGUAGGCUGGUGACUACAGCUCCAAUUUGACUCCUAGUCUGGGAACCUCCAUAUGCCGUGGGAGCGGCCCUAAAAAGCAAAAAAAAAAAAA
This 2414-nucleotide long non-coding RNA is filed under the name Sus scrofa (pig). RNAcentral's name for it is "lncRNA (ENSSSCG00005006621.1)". The record is from RNAcentral. Lineage: Eukaryota; Metazoa; Chordata; Mammalia; Artiodactyla; Suidae.